Molecule: ribosomal RNA, 785 nt
Filed under: Phrynobatrachus discogularis
Lineage: Eukaryota; Metazoa; Chordata; Amphibia; Anura; Phrynobatrachidae
Description: partial 16S ribosomal RNA
Rfam family: Bacterial large subunit ribosomal RNA
Source: RNAcentral
ACUAUUGAACAACUUCAUAACAAUAUGAAACUUAUCCUGCUAGAACUAGUAACAAGAAAAUGACUUUCUCCUAAAUAUAAGCUUACACCAACAUUGACUAACUAUUGGUACUUAACGUAAAUGAUUUAACUGUAAUAACCAACCUCUAGCAAAUCUUACAACCACCAACGUUACCCUAACACUAGAAUAUUUUAGGAAAGAUUAAAAGAAAAAGAAGGAACUCGGCAAAACAUUAACCCCGCCUGUUUACCAAAAACAUCGCCUCCUGAAUAACAUAGGAGGUCCAGCCUGCCCAGUGACCUUGUUCAACGGCCUCGGUAUUCUGACCGCGCGAAGGUAGCAUAAUAACUUGUUCUUUAAAUAGGGACUAGUAUCAACGGCAUCACGAGGGUUAUCCUGUCUCCUUUUUCUAAUCAGUGAACCUGACCUCUUCGUGAAGAAGCGAASAUACGUCUAUAAGACRAGAAGACCCCAUGGAGCUUUAAACAUAGAAACAAUUUCUUUAUUAUAUAACCYUAAAAAAUAAGAAAGUCUGUUAGCUAGUUUUCGGCUGGGGUGCCCAAGGAGAACAACCCAACCUCCCUGACGACCUGUAUCCGAGAGUAACAACUCAAAGAAACAAUAAAUUGACGUAAAAUGACCCGAUUAUUAAUAAUCGAUCAACGAACCAAGUUACCCUGGGGAUAACAGCGCAAUCCAUUUCAAGAGCCCCUAUCGACAAAUGGGUUUACGACCUCGAUGUUGGAUCAGGGUAUCCUGGUGGUGCAGCAGCUACUAAAGGUUCG